This 119-nucleotide ribosomal RNA is filed under the name Rubrobacter sp. RNAcentral describes it as "partial 16S ribosomal RNA". It matches the Rfam family "Bacterial small subunit ribosomal RNA", at positions 1 to 120 of the family's 1533-position model. The record is from RNAcentral. Lineage: Bacteria; Bacillati; Actinomycetota; Rubrobacteria; Rubrobacterales; Rubrobacteraceae.
UUGUUCGGAGAGUUUGAUCUUGGCUCAGGACGAACGCUGACGGUGUGCUUUAGACAUGCAAGUCGAGCGAGAAAGCCCUUCGGGGUUAGUAAAGCGGCGAACGGGUGAGUAACACGUGG